This 602-nucleotide ribosomal RNA is filed under the name Metschnikowia sp. F5. RNAcentral describes it as "partial 26S ribosomal RNA". It matches the Rfam family "Eukaryotic large subunit ribosomal RNA", at positions 53 to 668 of the family's 3401-position model. Lineage: Eukaryota; Fungi; Ascomycota; Pichiomycetes; Serinales; Metschnikowiaceae. The record is from RNAcentral.
GAGGAAAAGAAACCAACAGGGAUUGCCUCAGUAACGGCGAGUGAAGCGGCAAAAGCUCAAAUUUGAAAUCCCCCGGGAAUUGUAAUUUGAAGAGAUUUGGGUCCGGCCGGCNGGGGUUAAGUCCACUGGAAAGUGGCGCCACAGAGGGUGACAGCCCCGUGAACCCCUUNAACGCCNUNAUCCCAGAUCUCCAAGAGUCGAGUUGUUUGGGAAUGCAGCUCUAAGUGGGUGGUAAAUUCCAUCUAAAGCUAAAUACCGGCGAGAGACCGAUAGCGAACAAGUACAGUGAUGGAAAGAUGAAAAGCACUUUGAAAAGAGAGUGAAAAAGUACGUGAAAUUGUUGAAAGGGAAGGGCUUGCAAGCAGACACUUAACUGGGCCAGCAUCGGGGCGGCGGGNANCAAAACCACCGGGGAAUGUACCUUUCGAGGAUUAUAACCCCGGUCNNNANUNCCUCUACUNCCCCGAGGCCUGCAAUCUAAGGAUGCUGGCGUAAUGGUUGCAAGUCGCCCGUCUUGAANCACGGACCAAAACCGANGACUGCGAUUUUAUCAAGGAUGCUGGCAUAAUGAUCCCAAACCGCCCGUCUUGAAACACGGACCA